GACGUAAUCCGCUUGUAAACAAAUAAACCCCGAGUGGCGGCCAGAGAACUGGGAGCUGUGGCGGGGCAUGGAGGAAACCGGAGGGUGCGCGUGUGAAAGCCCCGCCCACAGCCCUGGCUCCUCCUUCCCCCUUCAGCUACUCGAGGCCCUGCGCCAGGGCAUCCUCUGCAAGUGUGCGCUGCCCGGGCUUGCUAGCGAGGAGUCUAAGUGCUGUGCACAUAAAAGCCGCCCCGCUCAGGCUGUCUACACGCGCGCCGGCUGCUCGGCUCGGGCUGCAGCUCCGGGGCGCUAGCCGCCUUGAGUACUCAGUGUUUACAUCCCGUCCCCGCUCCAGGUCUACGCGGCUUGCUCCACAAGCCGGAGGAGCGUGCGGAGCAGCGGGAUGCGGGUGCCUGUGCUGAAGGUGCGGGGGGCGCGCAGCGAGGGUGCGGAGAAAAGUGGAGGGGACGGGCUCUCGAGGGGCUUUCUGCAGCUUCAGAGAGCCCCGGUCUCCUCGCAGACGUGCAGCCAACGCCACGGAGCUGUUUCUGCUCCAUCCUCGGGGAGAAAUGGGAGGAUGUCUUUGUGAAAGUUUAAUUGCAAAAUAAAUGAAAGGAAAAGCAGCAACUUGCCCUUUUGAAGGAAUUCGAAUUUAAAAUCUCAGAGUAGAUUAGUAUUUACAUGCAUUGAGUGACAUCACAUCAUUCCCUUAAAACUAAACAGAAACAAAGUAACGUUCAAGUUGCAAAAG
RNAcentral lists this long non-coding RNA (730 nucleotides) under Equus caballus (horse). Its description in RNAcentral is "lncRNA (ENSECAG00000045391.1)". Lineage: Eukaryota; Metazoa; Chordata; Mammalia; Perissodactyla; Equidae. The record is from RNAcentral.